UUAGAGUUUGAUCAUGGCUCAGGAUGAACGCUAGCGGCAGGCCUAAUACAUGCAAGUCGAACGGGCGAUAGCAAUAUCGCUAGUGGCGCACGGGUKCGUAACGCGUAACCAACCUACCCGAAACUGGGGGAUAKCCYGCCGMAAGGCGSAUUAAUACCKCAUAAACCAACAGAGUGGCMUCACUUCAUUGGUAAAGAUUUAUUGGUUUSKGAKGGGGUUGYGUAGCAUUAGCUAGAUGGCGGGGUAACGGCCCACCAUGGCGACGAUGCUUAGGGGACCUGAGAGGGUGAUCCCCCACACUGGCAYUGAGAUACGGGCCAGACUCCUACGGGAGGCAGCAGUAGGGAAUAUUGGGCAAUGGGCGAGAGCCUGACCCAGCCAUGCCGCGUKCSGGAKGAAGGCCUUCUGGGUUGUAAASGGCUUUUCUCAGGGAAGAAAAAGGUCUUGCGAGACAAACUGACGGUACCUGAGGAAUAAGCACCGGCUAACUCCGUGCCAGCAGCCGCG
RNAcentral lists this ribosomal RNA (507 nucleotides) under uncultured Cytophagaceae bacterium. Its description in RNAcentral is "partial 16S ribosomal RNA". It matches the Rfam family "Bacterial small subunit ribosomal RNA", at positions 1 to 519 of the family's 1533-position model. The record is from RNAcentral. Lineage: Bacteria; Pseudomonadati; Bacteroidota; Cytophagia; Cytophagales; Cytophagaceae.